UCCAGACUCCUACGGGAGGCAGCAGUGGGGAAUAUUGCACAAUGGGGGAAACCCUGAUGCAGCAACGCCGCGUGGGUGAAGGAGCGUUUCGGCGCGUAAAGCCCUGUCAGCGGGGAAGAAGAAAGACGGUACCCGACCAAGAAGCCCCGGCUAACUACGUGCCAGCAGCCGCGGUAAUACGUAGGGGGCAAGCGUUAUCCGGAUUUACUGGGUGUAAAGGGAGCGUAGACGGCUGUGCAAGUCUGAAGUGAAAGCCCGUGGCUCAACCGCGGAACUGCUUUGGAAACUGUAUAGCUUGAGUACUGGAGAGGCAGGCGGAAUUCCUAGUGUAGCGGUGAAAUGCGUAGAUAUUAGGAGGAACACCAGUGGCGAAGGCGGCCUGCUGGACAGAAACUGACGUUGAGGCUCGAAAGCGUGGGGAGCAAACAGGAUUAGAUACCCCUGUA
RNAcentral lists this ribosomal RNA (446 nucleotides) under uncultured bacterium. RNAcentral describes it as "bacterial SSU rRNA". It matches the Rfam family "Bacterial small subunit ribosomal RNA", at positions 330 to 792 of the family's 1533-position model. The record is from RNAcentral.